CAUCUACUCCCUCCGUUCCGAAUUACGUCUUGGAUUUGUCUAGAUAGAGAUGUAUCUAGACUCAUUUUAGUGCUAGAUACCUCCGUAUCUAGACAAAUCUAAGACAAGUAAUUCGGAACGGAGGGAGUAACUG
Triticum aestivum (bread wheat) is the source of this 133-nucleotide non-coding RNA. Lineage: Eukaryota; Viridiplantae; Streptophyta; Magnoliopsida; Poales; Poaceae. The record is from Rfam.